GUGGGGAAUUUUGGACAAUGGGCGCAAGCCUGAUCCAGCAAUGCCGCGUGCAGGAAGAAGGCCUUCGGGUUGUAAACUGCUUUUGUACGGAACGAAAAGGCUCUGGUUAAUACCUGGGGCUCAUGACGGUACCGUAAGAAUAAGCACCGGCUAACUACGUGCCAGCAGCCGCGGUAAUACGUAGGGUGCAAGCGUUAAUCGGAAUUACUGGGCGUAAAGCGUGCGCAGGCGGUUUUGUAAGACAGAGGUGAAAUCCCCGGGCUCAAACUGGGAAUUGCCUUUGUGACUGCAAGGCUGGAGUGCGGCAGAGCGGGCUGGAAUUCCGCGUGUAGCAGUGAAAUGCGUAGAUAUGCGGAGGAACACCGAUGGCGAAGGCAAUCCCCUGGGCCUGCACUGACGCUCAUGCACGAAAGCGUGGGGAGCAAACAGGAUUAGAUACCCGUGUAGUCC
RNAcentral lists this ribosomal RNA (450 nucleotides) under uncultured bacterium. Its description in RNAcentral is "partial 16S ribosomal RNA". It matches the Rfam family "Bacterial small subunit ribosomal RNA", at positions 354 to 796 of the family's 1533-position model. The record is from RNAcentral.